UGAUUCUUUCGGGAUGAAAAGUUUUGUGACUGAGCGGCGGACGGGUGAGUAACGCGUGGGUAACCUGCCUCAUACAGGGGGAUAACAGUUAGAAAUGACUGCUAGUACCGCAUAAGACCACAGCACCGCAUGGUGCAGGGGUAAAAACCCCGGUGGUAUGAGAUGGACCCGCGUCUGAUUAGGUAGUUGGUGAGGUAACGGCUCACCAAGCCGACGAUCAGUAGCCGACCUGAGAGGGUGACCGGCCACAUUGGGACUGAGACACGGCCCAAACUCCUACGGGAGGCAGCAGUGGGGAAUAUUGCACAAUGGGGGAAACCCUGAUGCAGCGACGCCGCGUGAGCGAAGAAGUAUUUCGGUAUGUAAAGCUCUAUCAGCAGGGAAGAAACUGACGGUACCUGACUAAGAAGCACCGGCUAAAUACGUGCCAGCAGCCGCGGUAAUACGUAUGGUGCAAGCGUUAUCCGGAUUUACUGGGUGUAAAGGGAGCGUAGACGGAGUGGCAAGUCUGGAGUGAAAACCCAGGGCUCAACCCUGGGACUGCUUUGGAAACUGUCAAUCUAGAGUGCUGGAGAGGUAAGUGGAAUUCCUAGUGUAGCGGUGAAAUGCGUAGAUAUUAGGAGGAACACCAGUGGCGAAGGCGGCUUACUGGACAGUGACUGACGUUGAGGCUCGAAAGCGUGGGGAGCAAACAGG
Molecule: ribosomal RNA, 696 nt
Filed under: uncultured Lachnospiraceae bacterium
Lineage: Bacteria; Bacillati; Bacillota; Clostridia; Lachnospirales; Lachnospiraceae
Description: bacterial SSU rRNA
Rfam family: Bacterial small subunit ribosomal RNA
Source: RNAcentral